GGUUAAGCGACUAAGCGUACACGGUGGAUGCCCUGGCAGUCAGAGGCGAUGAAGGGCGUGCUAAUCUGCGAUAAGCGCCGGUAAGGUGAUAUGAACCGUUAUAACCGGCGAUACCCGAAUGGGGAAACCCAGUGUGAUUCGUCACACUAUCAUUAACUGAAUCCAUAGGUUAAUGAGGCGAACCGGGGGAACUGAAACAUCUAAGUACCCCGAGGAAAAGAAAUCAACCGAGAUUCCCCCAGUAGCGGCGAGCGAACGGGGAGGAGCCCAGAGCCUGAAUCAGCAUGUGUGUUAGUGGAAGCGUCUGGAAAGGCGCGCGAUACAGGGUGACAGCCCCGUACACAAAAGCGCAUGUGCUGUGAGCUCGAUGAGUAGGGCGGGACACGUGGUAUCCUGUCUGAAUAUGGGGGGACCAUCCUCCAAGGCUAAAUACUCCUGACUGACCGAUAGUGAACCAGUACCGUGAGGGAAAGGCGAAAAGAACCCCGGCGAGGGGAGUGAAAAAGAACCUGAAACCGUGUACGUACAAGCAGUGGGAGCACAGGUUUACCUGUGUGACUGCGUACCUUUUGUAUAAUGGGUCAGCGACUUAUAUUCUGUAGCAAGGUUAACCGAAUAGGGGAGCCGGAGGGAAACCGAGUCUUAAUUGGGCGUUAAGUUGCAGGGUAUAGACCCGAAACCCGGUGAUCUAGCCAUGGGCAGGUUGAAGGUUGGGUAACACUAACUGGAGGACCGAACCGACUAAUGUUGAAAAAUUAGCGGAUGACCUGUGGCUGGGGGUGAAAGGCCAAUCAAACCGGGAGAUAGCUGGUUCUCCCCGAAAGCUAUUUAGGUAGCGCCUCGUGAAUUCAUCUCCGGGGGUAGAGCACUGUUUCGGCUAGGGGGCCAUCCCGGCUUACCAACCCGAUGCAAACUGCGAAUACCGGAGAAUGUUAUCACGGGAGACACACGGCGGGUGCUAACGUCCGUCGUGAAGAGGGAAACAACCCAGACCGCCAGCUAAGGUCCCAAAGUCAUGGUUAAGUGGGAAACGAUGUGGGAAGGCCCAGACAGCCAGGAUGUUGGCUUAGAAGCAGCCAUCAUUUAAAGAAAGCGUAAUAGCUCACUGGUCGAGUCGGCCUGCGCGGAAGAUGUAACGGGGCUAAACCAUGCACCGAAGCUGCGGCAGCGAACGUAUCACCCAAGACAACUUUACGGAGUUGACGAUUGACGGAGCGAAGCGACGUCAAAGCGUUCAUUAAAGUCGAGUUGGCUUAGGGAUACGUUCGUUGGGUAGGGGAGCGUUCUGUAAGCCUGUGAAGGUGUGUCGUGAGGCAUGCUGGAGGUAUCAGAAGUGCGAAUGCUGACAUAAGUAACGAUAAAGCGGGUGAAAAGCCCGCUCGCCGGAAGACCAAGGGUUCCUGUCCAACGUUAAUCGGGGCAGGGUGAGUCGACCCCUAAGGCGAGGCCGAAAGGCGUAGUCGAUGGGAAACGGGUUAAUAUUCCCGUACUUGGUGUUACUGCGAAGGGGGGACGGAGAAGGCUAUGUUGGCCGGGCGACGGUUGUCCCGGUUUAAGCGUGUAGGUGUGUGUUCCAGGUAAAUCCGGUUCACUUUAACACUGAGGCGUGACGACGAGGCACUACGGUGCUGAAGCAACAAAUGCCCUGCUUCCAGGAAAAGCCUCUAAGCAUCAGGUAACAUCAAAUCGUACCCCAAACCGACACAGGUGGUCAGGUAGAGAAUACCAAGGCGCUUGAGAGAACUCGGGUGAAGGAACUAGGCAAAAUGGUGCCGUAACUUCGGGAGAAGGCACGCUGACACGUAGGUGAAGUGAUUUACUCAUGGAGCUGAAGUCAGUCGAAGAUACCAGCUGGCUGCAACUGUUUAUUAAAAACACAGCACUGUGCAAACACGAAAGUGGACGUAUACGGUGUGACGCCUGCCCGGUGCCGGAAGGUUAAUUGAUGGGGUCAGCGCAAGCGAAGCUCCUGAUCGAAGCCCCGGUAAACGGCGGCCGUAACUAUAACGGUCCUAAGGUAGCGAAAUUCCUUGUCGGGUAAGUUCCGACCUGCACGAAUGGCGUAAUGAUGGCCAGGCUGUCUCCACCCGAGACUCAGUGAAAUUGAACUCGCUGUGAAGAUGCAGUGUACCCGCGGCAAGACGGAAAGACCCCGUGAACCUUUACUAUAGCUUGACACUGAACAUUGAGCCUUGAUGUGUAGGAUAGGUGGGAGGCUUUGAAGUGUGGACGCCAGUCUGCAUGGAGCCGACCUUGAAAUACCACCCUUUAAUGUUUGAUGUUCUAACGUGGACCCGUAAUCCGGGUUGCGGACAGUGUCUGGUGGGUAGUUUGACUGGGGCGGUCUCCUCCUAAAGAGUAACGGAGGAGCACGAAGGUUGGCUAAUCCUGGUCGGACAUCAGGAGGUUAGUGCAAUGGCAUAAGCCAGCUUGACUGCGAGCGUGACGGCGCGAGCAGGUGCGAAAGCAGGUCAUAGUGAUCCGGUGGUUCUGAAUGGAAGGGCCAUCGCUCAACGGAUAAAAGGUACUCCGGGGAUAACAGGCUGAUACCGCCCAAGAGUUCAUAUCGACGGCGGUGUUUGGCACCUCGAUGUCGGCUCAUCACAUCCUGGGGCUGAAGUAGGUCCCAAGGGUAUGGCUGUUCGCCAUUUAAAGUGGUACGCGAGCUGGGUUUAGAACGUCGUGAGACAGUUCGGUCCCUAUCUGCCGUGGGCGCUGGAGAACUGAGGGGGGCUGCUCCUAGUACGAGAGGACCGGAGUGGACGCAUCACUGGUGUUCGGGUUGUCAUGCCAAUGGCACUGCCCGGUAGCUAAAUGCGGAAGAGAUAAGUGCUGAAAGCAUCUAAGCACGAAACUUGCCCCGAGAUGAGUUCUCCCUGAGACUUAGAGUCUCCUGAAGGAACGUUGAAGACGACGACGUUGAUAGGCCGGGUGUGUAAGCGCAGCGAUGCGUUGAGCUAACCGGUACUAAUGAACCGUGAGGCUUAACCUU
This 2992-nucleotide ribosomal RNA is filed under the name Salmonella enterica. RNAcentral describes it as "23S ribosomal RNA". It matches the Rfam family "Bacterial large subunit ribosomal RNA". Lineage: Bacteria; Pseudomonadati; Pseudomonadota; Gammaproteobacteria; Enterobacterales; Enterobacteriaceae. The record is from RNAcentral. RNAcentral also lists the same sequence under 4 other names.